This 242-nucleotide ribosomal RNA is filed under the name Partulina redfieldi. Its description in RNAcentral is "partial 16S ribosomal RNA". The record is from RNAcentral. Lineage: Eukaryota; Metazoa; Mollusca; Gastropoda; Stylommatophora; Achatinellidae.
UUGAAGUCGAGAAUGAAAGAAAAAUUAAAAUAAACUGUCUUAAAAGUUUUUUUUAGAAAUUAUUAAUAUGGUGAAAAUUCCAUAAUAAAUUUUAAUAGACGAGAAGACCCUAUGAAUUAUUUAUUAAAAAUUUUAUUUAAAAAUUUUAAAUUUUUGUUGGGGCAACAGGAAUUUUUAAAACAAAAGAAGUUCUAUAUUUAAUACAUACUACAUUUGAAGUUUUACUAUAAAUGAAUUUAAUU